Molecule: long non-coding RNA, 938 nt
Organism: Cucumis sativus (cucumber)
Lineage: Eukaryota; Viridiplantae; Streptophyta; Magnoliopsida; Cucurbitales; Cucurbitaceae
Exons: 2
Source: RefSeq, a predicted model, not a curated record
UUUUCGUAUGUGGAUAUACAAAAUAUCAGCUGUUCAAAUCACAAUGUCCACGUUCACGAGGUUUUCGACAAAGCCCCCAACCAAACCAAAUGUAUAGAUUCAGCAGUUGCGGGGAUUUUUGUAUACACAUUUGGACGACCAAGCUUUUUGUGAAGCCAUUUAGCUGCCUUAACUAUCUUCUUUGUGUUAUCAGCCAACCAUGGUGAAACUUGUACGGAGACAUAGCCAUCUAAACCAGUUGUUUCCUUGUAGAUUGGUUUUAAGAUCACACUCGUGUCCCUUAUGUCUUUUGUUACAAGUUCCCAGUAUGCACAUUCAACGUCUUUUCCUUCUUUCGUUAGAUCUCUAUCCAUGGAAUUCAGAUCAAAACAAACAAAACAAAUUUGUACAACAAAACUCUCAGCAACUCUUUGCUUCCAUACAUCAAUGUAUUGAGAUAAGGAAAGGUGACUAUACCUGAACUGCUCGUCGUAAGCUUUGGAUGACAAUAUCGAUCGCUCAAAUAUCUGUCAUUGGGAAUCAUAAGGUUCAAGCAAUGAGAGUGAAAGAUUAGAAAACAGAGAGGGAUUUUGACUACCUUAGGAUUGGAAGUAACACCUAUAAUUCCAGAUGCUAACAAGGGAAGAAGUUCAGUGGCAGGGCGGCAGAUUUUAUCAUAAUACCUUGGCCUUGCCGUUUAUGAAGGACGUGAAGAAUGGAUUUUCUGAACCCAUUUUUUGAACAAGCAACAAAACUGCUUUGAUUCAUCAGCAAGUUGCUGAAGGAAGCCAUCACAGCCUGAGAGAUGUUGAUCUUCAAAGGAGAAAUCAAACCCAUUUCCCAUUCCAAUGUAUAUACGGAGUGCUUCACAUUACAACCUAGAAUUUUUCCAAGAUUUGCUGGAAAUCUUGUAUUAUAAUUUACAUGUUUAUAUAUAAAUAUCACACCUUUCACGAUCA